AUUGAACGCUGGCGGCAGGCUUAACACAUGCAAGUCGAGCGGGGUGAUGGUGCUUGCACUAUCACUUAGCGGCGGACGGGUGAGUAAUGCUUAGGAAUCUGCCUAUUAGUGGGGGACAACAUCUCGAAAGGGAUGCUAAUACCGCAUACGUCCUACGGGAGAAAGCAGGGGAUCACUUGUGACCUUGCGCUAAUAGAUGAGCCUAAGUCGGAUUAGCUAGUUGGUGGGGUAAAGGCCUACCAAGGCGACGAUCUGUAGCGGGUCUGAGAGGAUGAUCCGCCACACUGGGACUGGGACACGGCCCAGCCUCCUACGGGAGGCAGCAGUGGGGAAUAUUGGACAAUGGGGGGAACCCUGAUCCAGCCAUGCCGCAUGUGUGAAGGAGGCCUUAUGGUUGUAAAGCACUUUAAGCGAGGAGGAGGCUCUUUUGGUUAAUACCCAAGAUGAGUGGACGUUACUCGCAGAAUAAGCACCGGCUAACUCUGUGCCAGCAGCCGCCGUAA
RNAcentral lists this ribosomal RNA (503 nucleotides) under uncultured bacterium. RNAcentral describes it as "partial 16S ribosomal RNA". It matches the Rfam family "Bacterial small subunit ribosomal RNA", at positions 30 to 523 of the family's 1533-position model. The record is from RNAcentral.